Molecule: long non-coding RNA, 210 nt
Filed under: Elaeis guineensis (African oil palm)
Lineage: Eukaryota; Viridiplantae; Streptophyta; Magnoliopsida; Arecales; Arecaceae
Description: long non-coding RNA (EGUI_LNC051319)
Source: RNAcentral
GGGAAGUGGGAUGCAGAUGCUGCGGCAUCUUGCCAGCGGAUGGGAGAAUCGUGCGAUAUCUGCUGCAGGAGGUGGAGCAGGAUCGCGGCCGUUUAUCGUGGCCUGUCAGGCAGUAAUGGAGCCGUGUGGGCGCAGGAUCCGCCGUAGAGAGUGGAGCAGUGUUGCGACCGUUACUGCGGCCUGUCAGGGAGUGAUGGAGCUGCGCGGAGU